Molecule: ribosomal RNA, 428 nt
Filed under: uncultured bacterium
Lineage: Bacteria
Description: partial 16S ribosomal RNA
Rfam family: Bacterial small subunit ribosomal RNA
Source: RNAcentral
GUGGGGAAUAUUGGGCAAUGGGCGCAAGCCUGACCCAGCAACGCCGCGUGAAGGAAGAAGGCUUUCGGGUUGUAAACUUCUUUUACCAGGGACGAAACAAAUGACGGUACCUGGUGAAUAAGCCACGGCUAACUACGUGCCAGCAGCCGCGGUAAUACGUAGGUGGCGAGCGUUAUCCGGAUUUAUUGGGUGUAAAGGGCGUGUAGGCGGGACAGCAAGUCAGAUGUGAAAACCAGAGGCUCGACCUCUGGCCUGCAUUUGAAACUGUUGUUCUUGAGUGUCGGAGAGGUAAUCGGAAUUCCGUGUGUAGCGGUGAAAUGCGUAGAUAUACGGAGGAACACCAGUGGCGAAGGCGGCCUGCUGGACAUUAACUGACGCUGAGGCGCGAAAGCGUGGGGAGCAAACAGGAUUAGAUACCCGUGUAGUCC